Molecule: ribosomal RNA, 433 nt
Filed under: uncultured bacterium
Lineage: Bacteria
Description: partial 16S ribosomal RNA
Rfam family: Bacterial small subunit ribosomal RNA
Source: RNAcentral
AACGAACGCUGGCGGCAUGCCUAACACAUGCAAGUCGAACGAGACCUUCGGGUCUAGUGGCGCACGGGUGCGUAACGCGUGGGAACCUGCCCUUAGGUUCGGAAUAACUCCCCGAAAGGGGUGCUAAUACCGGAUAAUGUCUUCGGACCAAAGAUUUAUCGCCUUUGGAUGGGCCCGCGUUGGAUUAGCUAGUUGGUAGGGUAAAAGCCUACCAAGGCGACGAUCCAUAGCUGGUCUGAGAGGAUGAGCAGCGACACUGGGACUGAGACACGGCCCAGACUCCUACGGGAGGCAGCAGUGGGGAAUAUAGGACAAUGGGCGAAAGCCUGAUCCAGCAAUGCCGCGUGAGUGAUGAAGGCCGUAGGGUUGUAAAGCUCUUUUACCCGGGAUGAUAAUGACAGUACCGGGAGAAUAAGCGCCGGCUAACUCCGUG